Molecule: non-coding RNA, 1021 nt
Organism: Peromyscus maniculatus bairdii (prairie deer mouse)
Lineage: Eukaryota; Metazoa; Chordata; Mammalia; Rodentia; Cricetidae
Source: RefSeq, a predicted model, not a curated record
AAUUAACUAAAAUCUGAAAAUGGCAUGGCUGCCCAUCAGGAAGAGCCUGGCGACAUGUUUAUAUGAAAUGGAAAGCCAGAUCACGGCCCUGGGAGCUUACGAAAGGAAAACAUCGCUCAGAUAGUUUUGAAUGGAGCCUUGAAGACCAGUGUAAUUUGGAAGGAUGCACAGGAAUAAGGCAGCAAGGGGUGGGACAAUUGCCCAGGCCCUUCCCGGCUGUCUCACCCCACAGUGUCCAUGUCAGGUCAGCUCCUAGUUUCUCACACUGCUUCUACUGAUGCUGCUUUCUACUGAUAGUGCUUUACGUUCUCGCCACAAUUCCCCUUCUUUCAGGCCCCUUGUCUGUGUGACCUUUCACCCAGGCAGCCGAGGUUAACCUAUUGCUCUUCUGUACCUCUCACCCAUGACCACACCCACACCACAAAGCCACGGAAGCCCACAGCACAAAUGCAGUGAGACAUCUUCUGGAAAGAGGCCAGCAAAGUUCUAUUGAACCCAAACGUGACACCACCAACAGAUCAAAGAAACAAAUCCACUCCACUCUAGCUUGGUGAACCAGUGAGUUUACACAGGCUGCUGUGUCUCUGAAAAGUCCGUCUGAGCCUGGGUGACAUUACUGGAGUUCCCUGCACCAUUGGUGACAACACUGAAGAAGUCUCCUGCACCAUUGGAUGCAGCUCCAGCAGAGAUGCUGUUGAUGUCAUCUCUGAGAGGUCACAUGAGGGCAACAAUGGAUUUUACUCCACCUCACUCUCAAGAGGAGACACUGGGUGGAAAAACACCCAUUUCCAGAGCUGUUUUCCGCUGGGAGGUGCUUGCAAAGCUAUGAAUGCUGAUUAUACUGGUUGAUACUCGGAACCUGCAGACUUUCAAACAAAACAUGGGCUUUGGAGUCUGGCAUUUAUCUGGAUCCUGUAUUGUUGCCUUUUAAGAAGAUCCUUGACCUCAACUUCUGGGCUUCCUGGAAUUCGCUUUUACAGAUUUAAGGAGAUGGCUCCAAAGUUGCUGAAAAGACCAAAUU